UAGACUAUUGAUUAGAUGGAAGUGGUGAUC
Molecule: non-coding RNA, 30 nt
Filed under: Rattus norvegicus (Norway rat)
Lineage: Eukaryota; Metazoa; Chordata; Mammalia; Rodentia; Muridae
Source: RNAcentral